Molecule: long non-coding RNA, 451 nt
Organism: Beta vulgaris subsp. vulgaris (sugar beet)
Lineage: Eukaryota; Viridiplantae; Streptophyta; Magnoliopsida; Caryophyllales; Amaranthaceae
Exons: 2
Source: RefSeq, a predicted model, not a curated record
CUACUGAGAAACGACGACGUUUUUAUUUAGGGAACUGUGUUUGACCGGUUAUGGAGGGAAGUCAAACGGAUUUCAGUGCUGAUGCGACGACGUUUGGUUGUUGAGCACGUGUUGGUUUUUGCUAGUUUGAACUUCUGGUCGAGGACUUGAGGGGUGGUGUUGCGACGUACAUUCGCUGGUUACGUGUCAAAUUUAUAGUAGGAGAUGUUAUGUUUAGAUAUAGUAGUAGUAUAUUGUAUUUGGAGGGCAAAAUAGUUUAAUCUCGAGCUAUUUUGAUUUAGUUUCUUGUUAAGAGAUCUUAUCAAAUGCUUAUAAGAGUGUAAUUUGUUAAUUUUAUGGAAGUAUUAACAUUUACUCUAUUAAUUACUAUUUAAUCUUAUAAUGUAUAUUAUUUGGAGGGUUGUAAACUUGUAAUGAACAUUAUGUAGAACUAAGUGGAGUUUAUUGUUUA